Molecule: long non-coding RNA, 2482 nt
Organism: Dermacentor andersoni
Lineage: Eukaryota; Metazoa; Arthropoda; Arachnida; Ixodida; Ixodidae
Source: RefSeq, a predicted model, not a curated record
ACAUAUUUAUUCUCCUGAUCGGUGGUCAUUGUGACGAUAGGUAUGCGCACACAUUCUCGUAUCACUUCUGUUAUUAAAUGUGUCUGUCACUUAAGACAAUGAAUGGCUCAUACCCCCUUAAGCAAUGGUUUAUACCACCGGAAAAAAAAGGAAAAAAAAAAUGUGGCCUCCCCACUACGACGACACAAGAAAUAUGAAAUUCUACGCUGGAAUGAUGAGCAGCAACGGAGCCAGCUGUGGAAGGAGACGACGACGAGCGCGUGAGCAGUGGCAGAAGCGCGUUGGCACGGUCGGUGCCAACGAGCUAGUACGUGGGUUGUUCGCAGAUGACGGAAAUGCCCUAGCCAUACACAGCUUCGCCGUAAAAAUCGAGACUGUCACGAACUACACUAUAACCCAAGGAACGUGACAAAAAAAGUCAGAAUAGGCUAAACGGCAACAAAGAAAUCAACUCUAGAAACUGAGCAGAAAGGCAAAAAUGAAAAAAAGAAAUCAGUUUUGAGAAAAGGGCUCAAAGUUUCACCUUCAGUUCUCUAAAAGGCACAGCUAUGGCACAGUCUUUGGGGUGUUUUGUGAUGUCGGGCUUCUUGGACAUGCGGCCCCUGGUCUGGUGUGCCUCGCCCCCCCCCCCCCCCCCUCCGUUCUUUUUUUCUGUAUGGCAUUCUUUGCUGCUGCUCCGCAAAGAGCAUGGUGCCUAAGGUUUAAACCAAGUGAUGUACAGAACUCCGUGUGGGCAUGAAUAUAGUUCCAGUGUUGUACUUGCAGGCCACCUCAUUGAUAGAAGUCUCCGGUGCAAAUCAGUGAGGCAUUUUUUUUUUUCUUUGGUAGUCGACCAUGAAUAAAGGCUCUCAGCAGCGUUCCAAGUCAUGUUUCCUUGACAAUGGCUGCAGAACUUAGGAUCGGAGAGCCACCGAUAUAUAUGCAGCUGCUAGGUGCUUUCCAGCUUGUACUUUUGUUUGAUGCCUCUAUCAUUUCUGCAGCCAGGUGUCUGUGCCAGCCCACAAGGGGCCUUGUGAAAAGAGCUCAUGAUGAGGUUCUUUUUACGAAGGGUUGGUAUUAUAGAUAUUGUUACCAGAUAUCGUAUGAUAAGAGAGUCAACGCGUAAUGUGCUUUGUCGCGCAGUUCGAGGUAUACUGACGCGCGAACUGCCUAGCCGCGAGCUCCAGGAGUCUACACUCGGUGUGCUUAGCCGCGCAGUCCAAGGUGCCGACGCGCAUUUGAAAUGCCUAGUCGUGAGCUCCAGGAGUCGACGCUCGGUGUGCUUAGUCGCGCAGUCUGAGGUACCGGUGUGCGAAAUGCCCAGCCGCGGGCUCGAGGAGUCGACACUGCAUGUGCUUAGUCGCGCAGUUCGAGGUGCCGACGCGCGAAAUGCUGAGGGUCCGCGAAGUAGGCUCGCGAUCUGCUUGACCGCCGAGUCGGGAGACGCCCAUGCGCGAAAUGCUUAGCCGCGGCAUAGAGAAAGAAUGGCCGCGGGUCCGAGGAUUGCGUGCGCGAUGUGCUUGGUCGCGAAUUCCGAAACGCAGAGUGCUGAUUAGCCGCGUGCCCGAGGAUUCCACGCGCGAAUCUUGCUCUCAAAGUUUACGUCGCCGAUGCUCGGAAUGCUUAUCGCGUGUCUGAGACGUGCGCAAACGAAGGGAUCAGCUACGCGGACAUACGCGACUGCGAUGUCCGCUUAGCGCCGGUUUUGAUACGUCGUGGGGAACGAGCUUCGCGUUCGAGAAGCAGUUGCAAGACGUGCCCGGCAUCGGCUCCGGGUGAAAUCUCUUCGUGCGAAUCACACGCCCUGGUGCCUCACCUAAUAUGUCGGACGCUUCCUAAAGUGUGGCAGCAAGCAUGACCUGCAAGAUCUUCCUUCCUGCAUCCUGAUCCCCAUUCUCUGUGGGGGGCCAGACCUGAACAUGGGUGCUGGCUCGUGCAAGGCAAUAAAUCCUGCCGCCAAACGACACAGCCAACCGCCCCAAAAGACAAAACUAAGAAGGACUUCCCCCGCUCCACACGACCCUCCCGUCUACCUCUACAUGGGCUUCCAAGGCUUCCAAGACGAACAUCGCGACCUCCCAGGACCCAGAAGUGAAGGCUCUGCGGGAAGAGGGCUGUGACUGUGGUAGUUUCGAAAAGUCGGCUGGAGAGUCUUGCAAGUCGUGCAAGCAGUGCAACUACAGACCUCUAAAAAUAGAAGAUUGGUGCACAUCUCCUGUCACCUUGGGUGAAGGCACCUAGUGUGCUGAAACUGGAUCCUGCAGUUAGACCUGAGUGCCAAGAGGUGCCAAUGGUGAUGCAAGCCAUGUCUGCACCAAUUGGCCAAUUGUGCCUUCCCGAACACUCGCCGCAGGAAUGGCCGCCUAAGAGCUGCGCUCUAAAAAAAUGCAGUGACCUCAUUUGGAAGCCAGUCAUUUCGUCACAAAUGUACUCUUCAAGCAUCAAAAAUAUCCAGGCUGCCCAGACUAAGCAGAGGCUAAAAUUAAGUGCCAGCAACUGAACC